This 327-nucleotide ribosomal RNA is filed under the name uncultured eukaryote. RNAcentral describes it as "partial 18S ribosomal RNA". It matches the Rfam family "Eukaryotic small subunit ribosomal RNA", at positions 1470 to 1796 of the family's 1831-position model. The record is from RNAcentral.
CCCUUAGAUGUUCUGGGCCGCACGCGCGCUACACUGACGAAUGCAACGAGCUUAUAACCUUGGCCGAAAGGUCUGGGUAAUCUCCAAAUUUCGUCGUGAUGGGGAUAGAUUAUUGCAAUUAUUAAUCUUCAACGAGGAAUGCCUAGUAAGCGCAAGUCAUCAGCUUGCGUUGAUUACGUCCCUGCCCUUUGUACACACCGCCCGUCGCUCCUACCGAUUGAAUGGUCCGGUGAAGCGUUCGGACCGUGGCCUUUGGACGGUUCGCCGUCUGUUGGCUUCGGGAAGUUCGUUAAACCUUAUCAUUUAGAGGAAGGAGAAGUCGUANCA